Erigeron canadensis is the source of this 849-nucleotide long non-coding RNA. RefSeq lists it as uncharacterized. Lineage: Eukaryota; Viridiplantae; Streptophyta; Magnoliopsida; Asterales; Asteraceae. The transcript has 2 exons. The record is from RefSeq and is a predicted model, not a curated record.
UCCCUUCGUGGUAAGAGCCAUACCAGUAAUCAGCCAUCAGGUAUUCUAGGAUAAGUUUCUGUUUCCCAUAUACGCACAUACAAGACUGCAUCUAUGCAAUUGGCUACUGGCCUACAUUUUAUUGUUUUAUGUUAAGCGUACGGCGUACCCAUUAUAUACCUGAAGGGACCCUGAAGAAAAAUGAAAUUGUGUUCACAGCCCCUACACAGGAAGAGAUCACAAACCAUAAGCAGCCGGAGCAGUACCUAAAAGCACACCCCGGUGGGCCUAAAACUCUCAUAAAUUAUUGGGGAAGUGGUGAAACCAUGAACUGGUGAACUGGUCAACAAGAAUCAGCGAGAAGUUGAAAUGAACUUCUUGACAGUAGACAGUCCCCAAAGAAACGGGCCAGAAAGUCUUUCAGUUCAAAAGAAGGGUAUUACAGAGAACAAAGAGUUCUCUGAAACAAUCACUGACAUAGAUGUCGAAAUGAAGGCAGAGGAAAAGGCCGAGUCUGUAGAAGAAGACUAGGAGUAUGAAAUCCCGAAAGUAUGCCACUCAGAUACGACAAAGAGAAAACAGCUGAUGGCCACGAAAUUGAUGAAGACAGCCAAGGAGAAGCCCAUGAACCAAAGCAAACACGAAUUCCUGGGACUGCGAAAGUUGGUGCAGAAUGGUUGUCAUGUGGUGGGUCACUGAGCCACGGACAUAAAGCUGCUACUCUGCUCGUUUUUCAUAUAUUUCAUAGAAGAAUAAUGAGAUUUCACAUUCGUGCAAAGUAAAAAGACGUGAUUGACUUAUUCUAAAUACAGAAGUAUACCUACUCUCGUAUCUAGGAGAAUGAAAUUCGUCCAUUUUAAGAAACAUAAA